This 402-nucleotide long non-coding RNA is filed under the name Polistes fuscatus (common paper wasp). RNAcentral describes it as "uncharacterized LOC122516971". Lineage: Eukaryota; Metazoa; Arthropoda; Insecta; Hymenoptera; Vespidae. The record is from RNAcentral.
ACGAACCACUUAUCGAACCGUCCGCUGUUUUUAACAUCUCGAACCUGACGAACAAGAAGAGAAAAACGAGAGAAAGGCCUGAUGAAAAUCUUUUUUACCAGCACAUCCUGAGAGCGCACUUCUAACUAUGGAAAAAGAAGGAAAAGAAAAAAAAAUAUAUGAAGAAGAAAUGGAGAGCGCGCGAUUCAGGAAGAAGACGAAGAAAGAGAAGAGAACCGUGUCGGUGAUUGGUGGUUGAUGUUAUCUGAGAACUGCAUGCGUUAUGCUUUCUCAACACGAAUCUCUCCUCGUGUGUGUCUUCUUGCGUAAGCCAGGUGGUUUACCGAUUAUCAUUUUACGUUUUAUUCAUUCGUCGUAAUUAUUGUACUACCGCGAUCGAUAAUAGUAAUAACGUAAAACUAG